AGUAACGCGUGAGGAACCUGCCUCAAAGAGGGGGACAACAGUUGGAAACGACUGCUAAUACCGCAUAAGCCCACAGCUCGGCAUCGAGCAGAGGGAAAAGGAGUGAUCCGCUUUGAGAUGGCCUCGCGUCCGAUUAGCUAGUUGGUGGGGUAAUGGCCCACCAAGGCGACGAUCGGUAGCCGGACUGAGAGGUUGAACGGCCACAUUGGGACUGAGACACGGCCCAG
This 227-nucleotide ribosomal RNA is filed under the name uncultured bacterium. Its description in RNAcentral is "partial 16S ribosomal RNA". It matches the Rfam family "Bacterial small subunit ribosomal RNA", at positions 109 to 334 of the family's 1533-position model. The record is from RNAcentral.